GACGAACGCUGGCGGCAUGCCUAACACAUGCAAGUCUAGGGGUAGCAAUACCACUGGCGCACGGGUGAGUAACACGUAGGUUAUCUGCCCCCAUCACAGACAUAACCCCGGGAAACCGGGGCUAAUAUCUGAUGAGGUCGCGAGAUCAAAGCUUCGGCGGAUGGGGAUGAGCCUGCGGCUGAUUAGCUAGUUGGUGAGGUAAUGGCUCACCAAGGCGACGAUCAGUAGCUAGUCUGAGAGGACGAACAGCCACACUGGAACUGAGACACGGUCCAGACUCCUACGGGAGGCAGCAGUGAGGAAUAUUGGUCAAUGGGAGCAAUCCUGAACCAGCAAUGCCGCGUGUGGGAUGACAGGGCUUCGCCUUGUAAACCACUGUCGGACGGGACGAAAGGAGGCCUCGGGCCUCUGGGACGGUACCGUCAAAGGAAGGGUCGGCUAACUACGUGCCAGCAGCCGC
Molecule: ribosomal RNA, 460 nt
Filed under: uncultured bacterium
Lineage: Bacteria
Description: bacterial SSU rRNA
Rfam family: Bacterial small subunit ribosomal RNA
Source: RNAcentral